This 168-nucleotide ribosomal RNA is filed under the name uncultured bacterium. RNAcentral's name for it is "partial 16S ribosomal RNA". It matches the Rfam family "Bacterial small subunit ribosomal RNA", at positions 1325 to 1500 of the family's 1533-position model. The record is from RNAcentral.
GCUGGAUUCGCUAGUAAUCGCGCAUCAGCCAUGGCGCGGUGAAUACGUUCCCGGGCCUUGUACACACCGCCCGUCAAGCCAUGAAAGCCGGGGGUACCUGAAGUACGUAACCGCAAGGAUCGUCCUAGGGUAAAACUGGUAAUUGGGGCUAAGUCGUAACAAGGUAUC